Molecule: unclassified non-coding RNA, 331 nt
Filed under: plant metagenome
Description: partial contains 5.8S ribosomal RNA, internal transcribed spacer 2, and large subunit ribosomal RNA
Rfam family: 5.8S ribosomal RNA (bases 1-105)
Source: RNAcentral
AAAAUGCGAUAAGUAAUGUGAAUUGCAGAAUUCAGUGAAUCAUCGAAUCUUUGAACGCAGAUUGCGCCCGCCAGUAUUCUGGCGGGCAUGCCUGUCUGAGCGUCAUUUCAACCCUCGGGACCCCGUUCGCGGGACCCGGCGUUGGGGAUCAGCCCGAAGCCCCCCCGGGGCGGGCGGCUGGCCCCGAAAUCUAGUGGCGGUCCCCCCAGCGACCUCCUCUGCGCAGUAGUAACUCACCUCGCAGCUGGACAGCGGGAGGGCCACGCCGUAAAACCCCCAACUUCUCAAAGGUUGACCUCAGAUCAGGUAGGAAUACCCGCUGAACUUAAGC